GCGGAAACGACACUAACAAUCCUUCGGGUGCGUUAAUGGGCGUCGAGCGGCGGACGGGUGAGUAAUGCCUAGGGAACUGCCCAGUCGAGGGGGAUAACAGUUGGAAACGACUGCUAAUACCGCAUACGCCCUACGGGGGAAAAGAGGGGACCUUCGGGCCUUCUGCGAUUGGAUGAACCUAGGUGGGAUUUGCUAGUUGGUGAGGUAAUGGCUCACCAAGGCGACGAUCCCUAGCUGGUCUGAGAGGAUGAUC
This 253-nucleotide ribosomal RNA is filed under the name uncultured bacterium. RNAcentral describes it as "partial 16S ribosomal RNA". It matches the Rfam family "Bacterial small subunit ribosomal RNA", at positions 60 to 305 of the family's 1533-position model. The record is from RNAcentral.